Molecule: long non-coding RNA, 295 nt
Filed under: Nicotiana benthamiana
Lineage: Eukaryota; Viridiplantae; Streptophyta; Magnoliopsida; Solanales; Solanaceae
Description: long non-coding RNA (NBEN_LNC006509)
Source: RNAcentral
CUCAUCUCAAUGCUGCUUAUCAUUGCCUUAAAUACCUCUUAAAAGAUCCUGGUCUGGGGUUGUUUUUGAAUUCGAGAUAUGACUUUUAAUUGCUAGAGUUUUGCGACUCUGAUUGGGGUUUUGUCCUCAAUCCCGGAAAUCUAUCAGCGGUUUCUUUAUCAACUUGGGAGGGUCUCCUAUUUCCUGAAAUCAAAGAAACAGUCCUCAGUAUCCCUUUCUUCUGCUGAGGCAGAAUAUCGCUCAAUGAGAAGAGUAACGACAGAAAUUACCUGGUUGGUAUGCUUAUUAAGUGAUU